GACGAACGCUGGCGGCGUGCUUAACACAUGCAAGUCGAACGGAAAGGCCCUGCUUUUGUGGGGUGCUCGAGUGGCGAACGGGUGAGUAACACGUGAGUAACCUGCCCUUGACUUUGGGAUAACUUCAGGAAACUGGGGCUAAUACCGGAUAGGAGCUCCUGCUGCAUGGUGGGGGUUGGAAAGUUUCGGCGGUUGGGGAUGGACUCGCGGCUUAUCAGCUUGUUGGUGGGGUAGUGGCUUACCAAGGCUUUGACGGGUAGCCGGCCUGAGAGGGUGACCGGCCACAUUGGGACUGAGAUACGGCCCAGACUCCUACGGGAGGCAGCAGUGGGGAAUAUUGCACAAUGGGCGGACGCGUGAUGCAGCGACGCCGCGUGCGGGAUGACGGCCUUCGGGUUGUAAACCGCUUUCGCCUGUGACGAAGCGUGAGUGACGGUAAUGGGUAAAGAAGCACCGGCUAACUACGUG
Molecule: ribosomal RNA, 468 nt
Filed under: uncultured bacterium
Lineage: Bacteria
Description: partial 16S ribosomal RNA
Rfam family: Bacterial small subunit ribosomal RNA
Source: RNAcentral